UUCCAGUCGGACUGAAGAAGAUUUCACAUGUUGUAGCGCCACAGUCAAAAACUCCAACCCUUUCAGGCAUAGAAAUAAUUAGAAAGAGACAGAAACCUGCAUAUUUUUUGGGAAACUUUGUUUGUGACCAGUGUGGUAAGGAGAAACUUCCAAAAAGAGAGAGACCAGAAGUGGUUUUUCACCCUGAAGGAUACCGGGAAAGGUACAGGUGAGUUAUAGGUCUCUCGCACCUGAGGCUUUCAAACUUUG
RNAcentral lists this long non-coding RNA (249 nucleotides) under Salvator merianae (Argentine black and white tegu). RNAcentral describes it as "lncRNA (ENSSMRG00000007066.1)". The record is from RNAcentral. Lineage: Eukaryota; Metazoa; Chordata; Lepidosauria; Squamata; Teiidae.